GGUGAUCGGGCACCCUGGGACUGAAACCCCGCCCAAACUCCUACGGGAGGCAGCAGUAAGGAAUCUUCCGCAAUGGACGAAAGUCUGACGGAACAACGCCCCGUGAACGAUGAAGGGCUUCCGGUCCUAAAGUUCUGUUGGCAGGGAAGAACAAGUAGCGGAGUAACUGCCGGUACCUUGACGGGACCUGACCCCAAAGCCACGGGUAACUACGUGCCAGCAGCCGCGGGAAUACGUAUGUGGGAAGCGUUGUCCGGAAUUAUUGGGCGUAAAGCGCGCGCACGCGGGUCCUUAAAUCUGAUGUGAGAGCCCCCGGCUCUACCGCGGAGAGUCAUUGUAAACUGUGGGAACUUGAGUGCGCAAGAGGAGAGCGGAAUUCCACGUGUAUCGGUGAAAUGCGUAUAGAUGUGGAGGAACACCAGUGGCGAAAGCGGCUCUCUGUGCUGUGACUGACACUGAGGCGCGAAAGCGUGGGAGCGAACACGAUUAGAUACCCUGUUAGUCUACGCGGUAUACGAUGAGUGCUAAUGUUAUAGAGUUUCCGCCCCUUUANAGCUGCAGCCNACGCACUAAGCACUCCGCCUGGGGAGUACGGCCGCAAGGCUGAAACUCAAAGGAAUUGACGGGGGCCCGCACAAGCGGUGGAGCAUGUGGUUUAAUUC
Molecule: ribosomal RNA, 662 nt
Filed under: Pseudomonas sp. PASCdW1
Lineage: Bacteria; Pseudomonadati; Pseudomonadota; Gammaproteobacteria; Pseudomonadales; Pseudomonadaceae
Description: bacterial SSU rRNA
Rfam family: Bacterial small subunit ribosomal RNA
Source: RNAcentral